This 301-nucleotide ribosomal RNA is filed under the name uncultured bacterium. RNAcentral's name for it is "partial 16S ribosomal RNA". It matches the Rfam family "Bacterial small subunit ribosomal RNA", at positions 509 to 807 of the family's 1533-position model. The record is from RNAcentral.
CAGUAGCCGCGGGAAUACGAGGGGGGCAAGCGUUGUUCGGAAUUAUUGGGCGUAAAGGGUGCGUAGGCGGCUUGACAAGUCUUGUGUGAAAUCUAUGGGCUCAACCCAUAGUCAGCACGGGAAACUGUCGGGCUUGAGAAUGGGAGAGGUGAGUGGAAUUUCCGGUGUAGCGGUGAAAUGCGUAGAUAUCGGAAGGAACACCUGUGGCGAAAGCGGCUCACUGGACCAUUUCUGACGCUGAUGCACGAAAGCUAGGGGAGCAAACAGGAUUAGAUACCCCCGUAGUCCCUGUCUCUUAUAC